AUACAGAGGGUGCGAGCGUUAAUCGGAAUUACUGGGCGUAAAGCGCGCGUAGGCGGCUUGUUAAGUCGAAUGUGAAAGCCCCGGGCUCAACCUGGGAAUUGCAUCCGAUACUGGCUUGCUAGAGUAUGAUAGAGGGUAGUGGAAUUCCAGGUGUAGCGGUGAAAUGCGUAGAUAUCUGGAGGAACAUCAGUGGCGAAGGCGACUGCCUGGAUCAAUACUGACGCUGAGGUGCGAAAGCGUGGGGAGCAAACAGGAUUAGAAACCCCGGUAGUCC
This 274-nucleotide ribosomal RNA is filed under the name uncultured bacterium. RNAcentral describes it as "partial 16S ribosomal RNA". It matches the Rfam family "Bacterial small subunit ribosomal RNA", at positions 523 to 796 of the family's 1533-position model. The record is from RNAcentral.